CCUCUUUGGGGAGUAGCCUGCUUCCACCACGGUGGAAAGCGUCCUGAUCAACAUACUCGGCAACCGCCGUGGUCAGGACAGCCAGUCAGGGUUGGCGAGACCAGGGGCAUCACCGCGCCGUGCCGGGCGUGCGGGGAUGUCUUGUGGAUCCGAGCCCGGCCGGCGCU
Molecule: small RNA, 167 nt
Filed under: Pseudomonas oryzihabitans
Lineage: Bacteria; Pseudomonadati; Pseudomonadota; Gammaproteobacteria; Pseudomonadales; Pseudomonadaceae
Description: Manganese sequence
Rfam family: Manganese Mn2+ riboswitch aptamer (yybP-ykoY)
About the family: This RNA was originally discovered in E. coli during a large scale screen and was named SraF. The family was later found to exist upstream of related families of protein genes in many bacteria, including the the yybP and ykoK genes in B. subtilis.
Source: RNAcentral